Non-coding RNA from Potamilus streckersoni, 75 nucleotides. Lineage: Eukaryota; Metazoa; Mollusca; Bivalvia; Unionida; Unionidae. The record is from the annotation of a GenBank genome assembly.
UGUCCCUGUAGCGCAGUGGAUAGCGCGCUGGACUUCUAAUCCAGAGGCUGCGGGUUCAUAAACGUCACAGGUCAA